Small nuclear RNA from Nomascus leucogenys (northern white-cheeked gibbon), 191 nucleotides. Its record names the gene U2. It matches the Rfam family "U2 spliceosomal RNA". Rfam says of the family: U2 is a small nuclear RNA (snRNA) component of the spliceosome (involved in pre-mRNA splicing). The record is from Ensembl. NCBI's taxonomy places the organism in Eukaryota, Metazoa, Chordata, Mammalia, Primates, Hylobatidae.
GUUGCUUCAUGGCCUUUUGGCUAAGUUCAAGUGUAGUAUCUGUCCUUAUCAGUUUAAUAUCUGAUACAUCCUCUAUCUGAGGACAAUACAUUAAAUGGAUUUUUGGAGCAGGGAGACAGAAUAAGAACUAGUUUCCUCCACUCCAUGCAUCAACCUUGUAUUGCAGUACCUCCAGAAAUGGUGCACCCCUC